RNAcentral lists this ribosomal RNA (429 nucleotides) under uncultured bacterium. Its description in RNAcentral is "bacterial SSU rRNA". It matches the Rfam family "Bacterial small subunit ribosomal RNA", at positions 917 to 1341 of the family's 1533-position model. The record is from RNAcentral.
GGGCCCGCACAAGCGGAGGAGCAUGUGGCUUAAUUCGAUGCAACGCGAAGAACCUUACCAGGGCUUGACAUGUAACUGCACGUCCGGUGAAAGUCGGAUUUCUUCGAGAGUGUUACACAGGUGCUGCAUGGCUGUCGUCAGUUCGUGCCGUGAGGUGUUGGGUUAAGUCCCGCAACGAACGCAACCCUUGUGUUUAGUUGCCACCGUGGGUGAUGAGCCCACGAGCACUCUAGACAGACUGCCCGUACAAGCGGGAGGAAGGUGGGGACGACGUCAAGUCAGUAUGGCCCUUACGCCCUGGGCUGCACACGUGCUACAAUGGCAGGUACAGAGGGAUGCAAGACCGCGAGGUGGAGCAAAUCCUCAAAGCUUGCCCCAGUUCGGAUUGGAGUCUGCAACUCGACUCCAUGAAGUUGGAUUCGCUAGUAA